This 253-nucleotide ribosomal RNA is filed under the name uncultured bacterium. RNAcentral's name for it is "partial 16S ribosomal RNA". It matches the Rfam family "Bacterial small subunit ribosomal RNA", at positions 524 to 776 of the family's 1533-position model. The record is from RNAcentral.
UACGAAGGGGGCUAGCGUUGUUCGGAAUCACUGGGCGUAAAGCGCGCGUAGGCGGAUUGAUAAGUUAGGGGUGAAAUCCCGAGGCUCAACCUCGGAACUGCCUUUGAUACUGUCAGUCUUGAGUUCGAGAGAGGUGAGUGGAACUCCGAGUGUAGAGGUGAAAUUCGUAGAUAUUCGGAAGAACACCAGUGGCGAAGGCGGCUCACUGGCUCGAUACUGACGCUGAGGUGCGAAAGCGUGGGGAGCAAACAGG